Molecule: long non-coding RNA, 987 nt
Filed under: Olea europaea subsp. europaea
Lineage: Eukaryota; Viridiplantae; Streptophyta; Magnoliopsida; Lamiales; Oleaceae
Source: RNAcentral
CUUCGAUGAACACAGAAAAUCAACCCAUAAGCCCUCACAAAUCGCGGUCCCCAUCCCAAGGCGGACAUACUCGAUCGGGAAAACAAGUCCACCCAUGAUAUAAAUAUUCAUACCUGAACUUGGACGGACCACUGUUACGCCCCCAUCUGAAACACUUCGAAAAGUCUACCACCGCAUCUUAUGAGGUGUGCAACACCCAUCCGAAGUGGAACUACCAUCUGCUAACCCACUGCAAGACACAGACAAUCUACUGAACUGGUCGAGGCGCCCUCGCCCCUGAAGCCGAAGUUCUUUGCUAGAGGAUCCGCGCCAAUUUCAGAAAGAGAUCUAAGUUAAGAUCCUUUUUGCCCCCAAGAUUCAAUUGAUUUGAUGUCUCCAUGAGCCUAGUUGAUAUGGCGUACCAACUUUAUGUCAACUCAAUUCGGGAGAAAUAAUUAUCCGUCCACUCCAUAGACGCGGCUGAUUGACGCCUAUGAGCAGACGUGUCACACCGUCAGAUGCGUACACAUGUCCCACAUCCAACGGUUCUUCUCAUUUAUAAAUACCCAGGGUUUGAAAGAGGUAAAGGUAAUGAAACUCUUACAACAUAGCUUUCCACAACAAGCAAAUACAUAUUCUCCUUCCCUCUACUUUGCACAACCUUGGUAUUGAUCUGACCACCUGAAACUAACUUGACCAUUGGAGUGUAUGUGACCGCCGCCGCCUCCGUUGUUCUAGCCGUGUGCAUCUGACCGUGCAUUGACUGUAUGCAAAGAGGAAUACGUGGAGUAAUUAUCGGUUGGCCACGUGAAGGGUCCAAUUUGCGAGGUUAACACCUACAUCUCCAAAAAGAAUAUUCAUAUGCUACCAACCAUAAUUUGAAAGAAUUUUUUUAGUAAAACAAUCCAAGUAUAUUGGGAUUCCACAUGGAGAAUAUGCUUUUAAUAUGAAGAAUUUGGCUCAAACUGAGGUCCUUGGAAAGGGAAUUGAAGAGCAAUUUGUAUUUUG